AACGCACAUUGCGCCCUCUGGUAUUCCGGAGGGCAUGCCUGUCCGAGCGUCAUUGCAACCUUCAAGCACGGCUUGUGUGUUGGACUUUGUUUUCUAAAACGAAAACAGGCCCGAAAGGCAGUGGCGGCGCCCGAUCUGGUGCCCGAGCGUAUGGGAACUCUCUCCGCUCAAUGUGGCCCGGCCGGCGCUGGUCGAACUAUUAUUUUUUACCGGUUGACCUCGGAUCAGGUAGGGAUACCCGCUGAACUUAA
Molecule: unclassified non-coding RNA, 251 nt
Filed under: uncultured Auxarthron
Lineage: Eukaryota; Fungi; Ascomycota; Eurotiomycetes; Onygenales
Description: sequence contains ITS2
Rfam family: 5.8S ribosomal RNA (bases 1-52)
Source: RNAcentral